CCGCAGAGAGGAGAAGGAGUGACUGGACAUGGAGACUGAACUAUCCUCUCAUCCCUAAAAGUGGCUCUUCCAGGUCAAAGUUAAGGUACAUCAAUAUAAUAAUAACAUACUCUGUGUACUUAGAGGAUGUGGAGCCUCCUUGAAGUACAGAUGAGCUGCACAAUUCUCUGUGGCAACAUGAGGAUGUGUGACAUAAGGCCACGGAGGUACUGCUGUUCUAUCCAGAGUGCACUGAAGGAGCCAGAUGAAGAGUUUCUCCAGUAAAUAAUUAUAGCCCAGUGAUUGACUUUGCCUUUCCAGUUUACCCAUUCCUCAUAAAGG
Molecule: long non-coding RNA, 321 nt
Organism: Chrysemys picta bellii (western painted turtle)
Lineage: Eukaryota; Metazoa; Chordata; Testudines; Emydidae
Source: RefSeq, a predicted model, not a curated record